Molecule: ribosomal RNA, 535 nt
Filed under: Escherichia coli
Lineage: Bacteria; Pseudomonadati; Pseudomonadota; Gammaproteobacteria; Enterobacterales; Enterobacteriaceae
Description: partial 23S ribosomal RNA
Rfam family: Bacterial large subunit ribosomal RNA
Source: RNAcentral
GGGUUGUGAGGUUAAGCGACUAAGCGUACACGGUGGAUGCCCUGGCAGUCAGAGGCGAUGAAGGACGUGCUAAUCUGCGAUAAGCGUCGGUAAGGUGAUAUGAACCGUUAUAACCGGCGAUUUCCGAAUGGGGAAACCCAGUGUGUUUCGACACACUAUCAUUAACUGAAUCCAUAGGUUAAUGAGGCGAACCGGGGGAACUGAAACAUCUAAGUACCCCGAGGAAAAGAAAUCAACCGAGAUUCCCCCAGUAGCGGCGAGCGAACGGGGAGGAGCCCAGAGCCUGAAUCAGUGUGUGUGUUAGUGGAAGCGUCUGGAAAGGCGCGCGAUACAGGGUGACAGCCCCGUACACAAAAAUGCACAUGCUGUGAGCUCGAUGAGUAGGGCGGGACACGUGGUAUCCUGUCUGAAUAUGGGGGGACCAUCCUCCAAGGCUAAAUACUCCUGACUGACCGAUAGUGAACCAGUACCGUGAGGGAAAGGCGAAAAGAACCCCGGCGAGGGGAGUGAAAAAGAACCUGAAACCGUGUACGUA